RNAcentral lists this small RNA (828 nucleotides) under Fructilactobacillus fructivorans. RNAcentral describes it as "bacterial LSU rRNA". The stretch from base 327 to 828 matches the Rfam family "Bacterial large subunit ribosomal RNA", at positions 1 to 498 of the family's 2925-position model. The record is from RNAcentral. Lineage: Bacteria; Bacillati; Bacillota; Bacilli; Lactobacillales; Lactobacillaceae.
UAGAGCGCACGCCUGAUAAGCGUGAGGUCGGUGGUUCGAGUCCACUUAGACCCAUCGUUACUGGUAAGUGACAAUCGAAUAUUUUGGGGAAUUAGCUCAGCUGGGAGAGCACCUGCUUUGCAAGCAGGAGGUCAACGGUUCGAUCCCGUUAUUCUCCAUUGACACGUCAGUGUCAACUUUGUUCUUUGAAAACUAGAUAAUAUUAUUUUCUGUAUUAAUUAUAUUUUAAUUAUAAUUUUAACCGAGAAAUAACCACUACGUUAUUUGAGUUUUUUAAAAUAGUUUAAAUCGCAAAUACUCAAUAACUUACAUCACGAAGUGAUGCAGGUUAAGUUAUUAAGGGCGCAUGGUGAAUGCCUUGGUACUAGGAGCCGAUGAAGGACGGAACUAACACCGAUAUGCUUCGGGGAGCUGUACGUAAGCUUUGAUCCGGAGAUUUCCGAAUGGGGAAACCCAAUCAUCUUAGUCGAUGAUUGCUCGACAGUGAAUUCAUAGCUGUCGUGCGGUAAACGCGGGGAACUGAAACAUCUAAGUACCCGCAGGAGUAGAAAAAAAUUUCGAUUCCCUAAGUAGCGGCGAGCGAACGGGGAACAGCCCAAACCGACCAGUUUACUGGUCGGGGUUGUAGGACUGAACAUUUGAGUUACAAAAGAAUCUGAUAGUCGAAUCAGUUGGGAAGCUGAGCCAUAGAUGGUGAUAGCCCAGUAGACGAAAUCAGAUUCCCUCAGUUCAGGAUCCUGAGUACGGCGACACACGUGAAAUGUCGUCGGAAGCCGGGAGGACCAUCUCCCAAGGCUAAAUACUACCUAGUGACCGAUAGUGAACCAG